This 253-nucleotide ribosomal RNA is filed under the name uncultured bacterium. Its description in RNAcentral is "partial 16S ribosomal RNA". It matches the Rfam family "Bacterial small subunit ribosomal RNA", at positions 524 to 776 of the family's 1533-position model. The record is from RNAcentral.
UACGGAGGGUGCAAACGUUGCUCGGAAUCAUUGGGCGUAAAGCGCACGUAGGCGGACCGCUAAGUCGGAUGUGAAAGCCCUCGGCUUAACCGAGGAAGUGCAUUCGAAACUGACAGUCUUGAGUAUGGAAGAGGGUCGCGGAAUUCCCGGUGUAGAGGUGAAAUUCGUAGAUAUCGGGAGGAACACCAGUGGCGAAGGCGGCGACCUGGGCCAAUACUGACGCUGAGGAGCGAAAGCCAGGGGAGCAAACGGG